This 468-nucleotide ribosomal RNA is filed under the name uncultured bacterium. RNAcentral's name for it is "bacterial SSU rRNA". It matches the Rfam family "Bacterial small subunit ribosomal RNA", at positions 28 to 507 of the family's 1533-position model. The record is from RNAcentral.
GAUGAACGCUAGCGGCAGGCUUAAUACAUGCAAGUCAAGGGGGUAGCAAUACAACCGGCGCACGGGUGAGUAACGCGUACACAACAUACCAUAUACUGGGGUAUAGCUUUGGGAAACUGAAGGUAAUCCCCCAUAACAUUGCGAGAGGGCAUCUGAUUGCAAUUAAAGUUUCGGCGGUAUAUGAUUGGUGUGCGUUUGAUUAGCUAGUUGGUAGGGUAACGGCCUACCAAGGCGACGAUCAAUAGCUGGCGUGAGAGCGCGACCAGCCACACUGGAACUGAGACACGGUCCAGACUCCUACGGGAGGCAGCAGUAGGGAAUAUUGGACAAUGGAGGAAACUCUGAUCCAGCCAUGCCGCGUGAUAGAUGAAGGCCCUCUGGGUUGUAAAUAUCUUUUAUCUGGGAAGAAACACUCCUAUUCUUAGGAACUUGACGGUACCAGAGGAAUAAGCACCGGCUAACUCCGUG